UUAGAAAGUCACGGCUAAUUACGUGCCAGCAGCCGCGGUAAUACGUAGGUGGCAAGCGUUGUCCGGAUUUAUUGGGCGUAAAGCGAGUGCAGGCGGUUCAAUAAGUCUGAUGUGAAAGCCUUCGGCUCAACCGGAGAAUUGCAUCAGAAACUGGUGAACUUGAGUGCAGAAGAGGACAGUGGAACUCCAUGUGUAGCGGUGGAAUGCGUAGAUAUAUGGAAG
RNAcentral lists this ribosomal RNA (222 nucleotides) under Lactobacillus gasseri. RNAcentral describes it as "partial 16S ribosomal RNA". It matches the Rfam family "Bacterial small subunit ribosomal RNA", at positions 483 to 704 of the family's 1533-position model. The record is from RNAcentral. Lineage: Bacteria; Bacillati; Bacillota; Bacilli; Lactobacillales; Lactobacillaceae.